Molecule: ribosomal RNA, 119 nt
Filed under: Pteropus alecto (black flying fox)
Lineage: Eukaryota; Metazoa; Chordata; Mammalia; Chiroptera; Pteropodidae
Source: RNAcentral
AUCUACGGCCAUGCCACCCUGAACACGCCCGAUCUCGUCUGAUCUUGGAAGCUAAGCAGGGUUGGGCCUGGUUAGUAUUUGAGUGGUAGGCCACCGAAGAAGACCAGGUGCCAUAGGCA